Molecule: transfer RNA, 90 nt
Filed under: Streptococcus pneumoniae
Lineage: Bacteria; Bacillati; Bacillota; Bacilli; Lactobacillales; Streptococcaceae
Description: tRNA-Arg(acg)
Source: RNAcentral
UGAUACGAGGGAUUUGGUGAUUCUUCUUGACGAUAGAAGUUUCAGCNNNNAAGCUCCAUGUGUCGGCGGUUCGAUUCCGUCUCGCGCCAU